UACGGGGGGGGCAAGCGUUGUUCGGAAUUACUGGGCGUAAAGGGCUCGUAGGCGGCCAACUAAGUCAGACGUGAAAUCCCUCGGCUUAACCGGGGAACUGCGUCUGAUACUGGAUGGCUUGAGUUCGGGAGAGGGAUGUGGAAUUCCAGGUGUAGCGGUGAAAUUCGUAGAUAUCGGGAGGAACACCAGUGGCGAAGGCGGCGAUCUGGGCAGACACUGACGCUGAGGUGCGAAAGCGUGGGGAGCAAACAGG
This 253-nucleotide ribosomal RNA is filed under the name uncultured bacterium. Its description in RNAcentral is "partial 16S ribosomal RNA". It matches the Rfam family "Bacterial small subunit ribosomal RNA", at positions 524 to 776 of the family's 1533-position model. The record is from RNAcentral.